CAGAAGAAUCCAGUCCAACUCUUGGCACCAUAGAGAACCACCCAGAAAUCGGACUGUACAUUUGUGAACUCUGUUCUGACACUUCCUGAUCUUUGAGAACGCAAUCCAUAGGAGGUACCUGCUUCUCAUCACUGUCAGGAAGAACGCUCAAGGCUGCUCAGAAACAAUCAGCUCCUACAAGCUAAUGAGAACCUUAGCAGUACUUUAUUGUAGAAACCCUAUAGAAGUCUGUGUCACAGGGCAAUGACAUACACACUAAAAGACAGGUUGGUGACAGCUGGUUCCAGUACACGAGACCCUCUCAUAGCUCUAACCCGUGAUUCAUCCAAUAGAAAAAUAUCUGGAUAA
Non-coding RNA from Coturnix japonica (Japanese quail), 348 nucleotides. NCBI's taxonomy places the organism in Eukaryota, Metazoa, Chordata, Aves, Galliformes, Phasianidae. The record is from RefSeq and is a predicted model, not a curated record.